UACGUAGGGUGCAAGCGUUAAUCGGAAUUACUGGGCGUAAAGCGUGCGCAGGCGGCUUUGCAAGACAGAUGUGAAAUCCCCGGGCUCAACCUGGGAACUGCAUUUGUGACUGCAAGGCUAGAGUACGGUAGAGGGGGAUGGAAUUCCGCGUGUAGCAGUGAAAUGCGUAGAUAUGCGGAGGAACACCGAUGGCGAAGGCAAUCCCCUGGACCUGUACUGACGCUCAUGCACGAAAGCGUGGGGAGCAAACGGG
RNAcentral lists this ribosomal RNA (253 nucleotides) under uncultured bacterium. RNAcentral's name for it is "partial 16S ribosomal RNA". It matches the Rfam family "Bacterial small subunit ribosomal RNA", at positions 524 to 776 of the family's 1533-position model. The record is from RNAcentral.